Molecule: long non-coding RNA, 8920 nt
Organism: Chlorocebus sabaeus (green monkey)
Lineage: Eukaryota; Metazoa; Chordata; Mammalia; Primates; Cercopithecidae
Source: RefSeq, a predicted model, not a curated record
AGACAGAGGUGGCACUGAGUGGAGAUCACACCACUGCACUCCAGCCUAGGUAACGGCAUGAGACUCUGGAAAAGAAAAAAAAGGGAUUAAAAGCAUUCAGCAUGGUGUCUUCAGGGAUCUGCAGUGGGUGAUGAGAGCCAGCACAUGGCAGCAAAUCCUGCAUAUCUUCUGGGAACUACAGAAAAUAGCUGGAAGACCUUGACGAGGGUUGGAGGUCUUGUAAGGUCAGAGGAGCAAUGUGUGCCCAACACUGAUCACUGAAUGGAACAAGAGAGGAGACAGGAAAGAGAAAGGCGCUGUGGCUUACAGGAGCCACCAGGCUCUCAUUCGGCUGUCCUCCCCGCUUCCACUUUCUCACCUGCCUUUUUCUCCUCAUCAUAUGCUCUGCAGUCUGAGCUUCCAUCCCAAUUGGAGGAGUAAACCUGCCACCUUGGCUCAAACAUAUUUUUCUUUAACCAUGUUCUCUCUGCCUGGAGCAUCUCCUCCCUUCAUGCAUUGUGUGUGCAGAUGCCACUGCUUCUGGAAUUGUUUCUGAGCCUGACUCAACCCUGACUGAGGUCAGUGCUCCUCUGCCACCGUGACACUCUGUGGCUACUGCUGGUUGGAUGACCUGCUUCCUCCCCUAGGCCCUAAAUGAAAUUCUUUGCUGGCUGGGACAAACCAUGCCUGUUCACCUUUUUAUCUCAAAGUCUAGUGGAGUGCCCAACAAGAAUUCAAGAAAUAUUUAAUGGGUAGAAGAAUGAAUGGAUGAAUGAACUGGUGAAUACAGACCAUGGAGGGGCCUGGUUCUGUGGGCAAGGAAGGAUGGCAUGGCUAGCACUGAACUACCAAAAGUGCUGGGCCUCAUGCAUGCAGGUGCCUCUGCAGGGGCAUGGAAAAGCUGGCACUGGGAGUACCGAAGAAGCCGGAGGCUGAGUCAAGCAUCUGUGGCUGCUGGAGCAUUGCCAGAAGGGACUAGAAACACAAGGGACGUCCCUUCUCUCCUCUUCCCACCUUCCAACCCCUCUGGUGCCUCUCAUUAGCAGAACCUAAUAGAGGGCCAGCUGGCAAGCUAGUCUAGGCCCAACAUUGCAGAGUAUAGCAGGACUUGGAGCUCAGAGAAAGUAGGCAAAUAACUGGUCUUAUCUAUCCUCUUGGUUAGUCAGCAUCAGUCCCCAUCGUUCUAACCAAUUGUAAGAGCUCUGUGCUCUGCCUAAUAAAAUGCAAUUAUCCUUCAUACAAAUGAAGACUGUAUUGCCUUCUACCCCAAAGAAAUUUCCUGUAACAAUCAUAUGCAUAUCUGCAUAUCUAUCUGAAUACUCUGUAAACUAAAGAUGAAGUUAUAAACUUAAUCACUAACAGUAGCUUAAGUAAAAUAAUAGGAGAAAGAAGGAAGGGGAAGAAACAUGAAUUAACAUAAGCUAUAUAUAUAUAUAUACACACAAACACAAAUUAAGCAAAGGUAGACAUUCAUAACAGUCACAUUUCUGUAACUAUUCAUGAGGUCAUCACUUCCUUGUGAUGAGGUCAUGAGGUCAUAUCAAUUCCUCUUCCACUGUCUAUUUGUCUAUUUGAUGUUGCAUUCAUUGUAAGCUAGCAAUUCAGCUUGUAGAGUCUCUCUCUCUCUUGUUUUUUAAGGUACAGGCUUUUGCUCUGUUGCCCAGGUGCACACACUACAUCCAGCUGAUAGCUUCUUUUAAAUUCUGUUUUUUAGAGAUGGAGUCUCCCUGUGUUUCCCAGGGUGAUCUCAAACUCCAGGGCUCAAGCUGUCCUCUACCUCAGCUUUCCAAAGUGCUAGGAUUACAGGUGUGAGCCACUGCACCCGGUCGAGACUUCUUAUCUGAAAGCCCUCAUUUUUGAAGGGGCCUGAAUUUCCAGAGGUCUUGCAUUUAUCGAGUUGAUAUGGUUUUCCAAAAUGUUGCACUGAGGAGUACUAAGAGACACCCUUAGAAGACCACAGGCUCUGUAACUAGUCUUCUCUGUCUUCUUGAGUGGCAGAACCCAUUUUUAAAAAUUCCUUUUUGGCCUUUUGGUUUAGUAGCAUUAAAAGCUUCAAAUGGUCAUCUAAGCUUGAGUGGAAUACUUUCUCUUUGUGAACGAAGAUUCCUAAAUCAACAGAGCGCAAAGGUGUAGAGACAGGUAACGAACAUUAUCUCAGUGGAUUGCUAGUGUAGCUGUAGGAGAAUCCAUCCCCAAGUUCUACCCCUUGAUUCUGACUGUAGUAUAAAUUGCACCAUGCAUUGAUCACUGGUUCAAAGCAUGUAUUUCACCCUAUUGGAUAUAACCCCAACCUUUCAGGGUUUUCUCUUCCAACUGACCUUUAACUGGCCAUUCUACCAUUUGAUCACAGUAGCUGCUUCUGGGAGAUGUGGCACAUGGGCUCAUUGCUAUACUUCUUUUGCCAUGGAAUAAAUUCCUUGUUUAGAAGCAAAUAUUGUCUGGGAUGCCAUAAUGAUGAAUAAGAUGUAACAUAAGUCCAAGGAUAAUGAGAUAGCGGAAACAUAACAGGAAAGAGAUAUAUGUACUCUAAUACAUAUACUUUAUAAUGAGCACACGUGGCUGCCCCUUAUGAUGAAGAGUUUCAAUAUGAGUAAUCAGCUACCAGGUGGUUCUCUGGUUUCCUGGAAAAAUGAUAAGAUAUGAAUGCUCCCUUUUUGGACUCUGCUCUUGGCAAGUUAGACACUCAGCAGUAGCAAUUGCCAGUUCAGUCUUGGAAAGUGUUACUCCCUGCUGGUAAGUUCCUCCACACACUCUGUGCCUGCCACUCUGGACCAUGAGAUGGCUGGGGAAGGUGACUUCCUGCCACAGAACAUGUCACCGGGGUAUCUGAAUAUUGAGAGUCUCUUCUGUAGCAGAUAUCCCCUGAUGACCCCACGAGACCCUCAUUUCAUGAAAUCAUAAAUAAAGUAGCAAUUGGAGCACCAGCAUACUAUAAAAACUCAGCAGUGGCUGCCUCUCUAGGCUGGGGUGAUAGUGGGAGAUGUUGCCGUUGUGAUGAGGAUGAAGGGAUCCUGCAGUGGCAGAGCAAAAGCACUAGCAUUUAAUUGCCAGAAAAAAGGUAUCAUCAAGGUAAAAGUAGUUAAUAGCAACAGGGAUAUAUUGAUACUCAGGAUACUUAGAUCUACAAGGUCUUUGGUGGUGGCUAGUCAAUCACCUGUCCAUAUAAAUGAAAGAGAUUGGCAGCCUGCCAGAGUAUUACUUGAUCUUUAUAACUGCAAAAAUUCCUAGUCUAGUGGAUAGAAAUCUGACUCAAGUUGUCACAAUAGGGAGUCAUAGCCUCUCACCUGGUUCUGUGCUCUAAGCCCAUCCAAAGAUACUGAACUUUUUUUCCAUUCUGUUCUUUGUUGCAUCCUUAGUCGAUAGCAGAGGCUCAUAAGUGUGUUUUGAAUGAAUGGAUACAUGAAUGAAUGAAUGGAUAUAAAAGGAUAGAUGUAAGAAAAAAAUGAGAAUGAAAAACUAAGAGGAUUUUUUUGAUUCAAUUUGAAGAAUGGAUUGAAGCCUUGACCUGAAGCUUUGCUUGCUGAGGAAUAUGGUGAUAGUAUUAACAGAAAUGGGAAAUUCAGCAAAAGGAACUUACUGGAGAUAACAGAGAGUAAAAAUAUGAGAACUUCAACUUUUAAAGGUGAAUCUGAGAAUCAAUGUAGUCUUUAGUAAAGACUUCAGAGGUCAGACACAGAGUCAGCUUUUAACUUAUUAUUUGGUCAAAGCCACCCAUUUGGGUGGGGAUCGUGGCCCCAUCAUGACAUGUGCUAGAGACCGUCCGUACGAUAGGCUCACCCCACCCCAGAUUCCCACCCUGCUCCAUGCUCAUUACCUUCUGAAUCUGCGCAGGUGUCUGAGUGGAGCAGUCAGACAGAAAUGUUCACACAGGGAACUCUUUAUUACCUCUGACAGACGCAUUUUAGCCCCAUCACUUCCAAACACAACUCCUGGAAGGCUGCCCAGAAUUGUUGCCAGGUAUCAUUGCCAUGGAAACCACAGACCACCCCACGAGAGUUAGAGACACAAAAGCAAAAGCAGUGUAAGAACAGAUUUUUUGAGGCUCUAGUCCCUCUGAUUUCACACCUGACGGGACUGUAUGUGUGUUCCCCUGGGAGACACAGGAGUAAAGCAUAUAGGGAGAAUUGGGUUAUUAGUGGUUUUCAGGAACAGACUAUCCAAGGAAAAUACCUUUCAGAGAAGCAAGGGCACAAGUUACUCUCCAAAGCAUAAUAAUGUUUUUCUUAUUUUCCUCUAAAUAUAGAGCUAUCAUAGCUGGCACUUCUUCUGGCAAAGAAUGAAGCAAUAUAUAUCCCUUGGGUUUUUGACAUUGUAAACAUAACUUUAGUAGAAAUGGUUUUUCUAUUCUAGCCAUUAACUCAACCAUACCAAAAUUACCUUGGCUCCCUUAAACUGAGGGUGGAGGGUGGCACUGAUAACGGGCAUUAUCUAGCACAAGGAUUUUUUGUUUCUCAGCUUGAAGCCAAUGGAGGUAUUAUUAUUGCUUUGUCCUCUUGAGCUGGGCAGUGUAUUCAUAUGUUAGCACUCAUGGAGCCGUACACCAAGGAUGUGCAUAUGACUGUAUGUAAGUUGUAGCUUGAUGAAAUAUUGUCAGCACAAAAAAAUGGAAAACAAAGUAUUUAAUCGUUCAAAGCAAAAAUUUUGGUUGCUGAUUUUUUAAAAGGUGAGUUUAUGUGGCUUCCUAGAAUCAUGCAACUUUAAUUUUGAAAUGUCAACUGCAGUAUUAGAAAUAUUUUCUCAGAAUUACUAAGGACAUUCAUUGUGCUAAGGGCUACACAAAUAUUUAUUGAGCAGUUACUUUGGGCUGGGGUUUAAAUGUCUUUGCUUUUGGUCUAUCAAUUCCUCCUGCUUUUUGUGUGCCUAGCCAGGUAUGCCUCUCCCACCCCAACCAAGUGUAUCUGAAUGUGGUCUGUACACAUGACUGCUCAUCCAGCCACUGUUCCUUCCCUGAUGACUGGAGGGAAACUCUCAUGAUUCAACGGUAAAGUUCUAGAUGAAAUUCUGAGGCUGCUAGUCAUGUCAGUCAAUCUCUUGCUCAUUCAUCAGUUUUCCUCCUUCCCUGGCAACUAUCCCUGUGAUUAGCAUGACAAUUGAAGCUACAAACUCCUGUUCAUUUCUUCCCUUUCCCUGACCCCAUUCUAAAUCUCAUUUUGCUCUCAUCUGCAUCUCUACUAUCUGGUCAAGAGAUAGCACCCAAUAUGUAGUAAGGGGUCAUUAAUUUUUGUGUAUUAUCUUCACUUGCUUCCAUUGUUCUUCCUCUUCCCUUUACAUCCUUGUCUUAACUGAAAGUUGGCUGUAUAUGUUUCUCAAUAUCAUAAAAUUGAAGAUGAAUAUCAUUAAAAAAUGUUGAGAAACUGUAAUAUGUUAUCCACUAUGCUAAAGAUACAACUCUAACAGCUCCUUCCCAGGCAGCUUAUGUAUGUUCUAAUGAGUGAAAUUCAGAUAAAAAAGCAAAUACAAUAACUUAAAGUCAUAAUAAAAGUAUGUAAGGAAACAAACAAGAAGCUAAGACAAACAAAUUUUAGGGUGAUUGCAGAAGUACUUUUAAAAAUAAAAUUUCAGCUGAGACAUGAGGCAUGAGAAAGAGUUUGUCCGUUUAAAGAGGGAGGAAAGAGCAUUCCAGAAAGAAAUAAAAUAUGUAAGAGUCCGGAGGUGAGAGGUAGUGUGGGUCUCUUCUAGAAACUGCAUGACCACUGUUGUGGCUGGAGCUUGGCGAGUGUGGAGAAAGUGGUUUUGAGAUGUAAGUCAGAGAGAAGAGGAGAGACAGAAUCGUGCAUUUGGAAUAGGAAUCCAUGGAAGAAUUCAGAGAGAGACUUAUGUGUUCAUCCUGGCAGGCAAGUGAAGAAUGAGACAGGUAAGAGAGGAAGCAAAGGAUACAAGUGAGGAAAAUGCUGUUGUUGCCUUGGACGGAGAUGACAGGCUGUAGUAAGGGAGUUGCAGUAGAGGUGAGCAGAGAACACAGACUUCAGAUACAUUCAUAUUAUAAAUUGAGGAGACUGGAUGGCAGGAGUGAAGCAAAUGAAAAACAGAAUGUUCCCUAUGUUUCCAACUUGAAUUGAGUUGGAAAUAGUACUAGUUACUGAGGAGAGGAAGAUAGAGGAAGGGGAAGGGCAGUUUGGGGGACUUUUUUAGAAGUCCGUGAGACAUCUGGGAGGCAAGGUAUCAAUGAGGCAAUAAAAGGGAAAUUCUAGAGUUCAAAGAAAUGAUCUAAGCCGGGGAUAUAAAUGCAGGACUCAUCAGUAUACAGAUGGUUUAUGCAUUGUUGCGAAAUGAUCAAGUCAUAUAACAUUUCAGCCUAGAGAGAAGUUUCCAUUGGCUUCAUGACAUGAAGAUCUCUGAUGACCUUGACAAAGGGGGUUUCAGUGGGCCUGGGACAGGGGUUGGUGCCUGAUGGCUUGGAGAGUGCAUGGGAGAUGAAGUAGAGAAAGCAUCAGGAGACAGUUUUUUUCUCCCCAAAAUUUGACUAUGAAGUGGAGAAAUGUGUCGCUGGAUGGCAAUGGAUAUGGGAAUGUGUGUGUGUGUGUGUUUAUGUGUGGGUGUGUGUGCUACAUAUUCUUUUUACAAAUGAGUGAUGCAUGUACUAAUAUAGAUUAGGGAAAGUUAAUGAUGGGGGAAAUGGAAGAAGCCAAGUUUUUGAGGGAUGUGUGCAAUUGCCCUUUAACAGAAGUGGGGAUACUUCCCCCAUUGCAAUGGGAGAAAGAGGAUGAGUACACGUGUUAUUAAGUUAGUAGUUUCGGGGUUGGCAGAUGUGAGUGUUCAGAUGUGAUGUCUUCUUUUUCCUUAGAGUAUAAGCAAGGUCAUGAGCUGUGAGUGACUGUCAAAUUGGGCUAUGACAAAUUUGAAGAGAGUGAGCGAGAUAUAAAAUAUUGUGUAGUGAAGGGCAAUGUGAGUCUACUAAAGAUACGUGGUUGGUUUUUGUUUGCCUGGUUUUUUGUUUGUUUUUGGCAGUACUGACCAGUUAACUACCUUUGUGGUUUUCUCCAUUAACAUUUGGCUUCUUGGCUAUAGGCACGGAAAGGUGGAAUGUAGGAUUUAUUCAGAAGUAGGAUGUGGCAGAUGACUACAAAGUUAUCAGAGGACAUGGUGAGAUGUUUGGAAGAAUCCUAGAGGUAGAGGCUCCUGGAGUCUUGGUUUUCCCAGGCCUGAAGUUGGCAACAGAGUCCUAGCCUUGGCACCAGAGAUUUUCUAGGGUCAGGAGGAAGGACUUGCAUUUUCCUACCUUCUCUUAUGUUUUCAGACCUUUGUUCUGCAGCUUUCCUGGCAGUUCUGAAACUGUUUAAAUUUGAAUUCCUUUACUCAUACAGAACUUCAUCUGUAUGCCUCCCAACCUUGCCAUCCAUUCUCUGAGGAUUGCAGUGCUUUUCCUGCAGUCUGCCACUUCUCUCCAGCCCAUGUCAUUACCCUGGUUGACUUCAGUGUCCUUUUUGAUGACCUAUUUAACAACUGAAUCUCUCAGUUCCUUAAAAUUAUUUCAUCUAAGAACUUUCUGGGUUUUUUUUUACAUUAAUGGAUUAAUUUAAUUUAAUACCUGGAGACUUGUCACAUAUAAAAUGACUCAAUCUUUGAAAUCAUGAAUUUUGAAAUCCUUUUUCUGCUUUCUUUUUCUUUUUGCAACCCAUUCUUUAGCCUCAUUGGACAUCUGUUCUUGUGAGUCCUUGCUAUUCCUUUAGAUUCUUUCUUUCUUCCCAUCUGGAUUUUUGAAAAAUGACCCACCCAACACGCUCACCAGUGUUCUUAGUUCCAAUAACCUGGUGAUUUCCAGUGGCACCUUUCUCAUCCUGCACUCAGGAAAAACCUGCCAUUCGUUGGCUGGUUUGUUAUGCUUUCUUGCUCAGGGCUACAGAACGUGUUAGAGGAAAAUCAUGUAACAGUGGUAAUUGCUUGAAUUUCAGACAUGGUUUCCACACUCAGCUGGCUCCAUGAUGCUGCCCUCCUCUCCAUUCUCUCUGUCCCUCUGCUUAUUCCUCUUGUCUAGACCAUUACAACAGUCUCUUCACUAUUCUCCUUUAGAGUCUCUAUUUCUGAUGUUAUGUUAUUUUCUUUUUCUGGGGAUUCUUUUCCAAAUUGCAGAUUAGAUCACUCAUUUCCCUGCUUAAAAAAUCCUGAGAGCCAACUAAGAUUUAGACCAUUAGGUAGAAGCUCUUUAGGGUUUCAUUCAGGAAUCGGGGGCCUUCAUGAUUUGCAUCUAACCUACUUGUCUAGUCUGAUCUCUCCUCAUUUCUAACCACCCCCAUUCCCCACUCCCAUACACUACACCAGACCAUUCUGUAUUCACCCUCACACUGUUUCUCCUGCCUGGAGCGAAAGCUUCUUUCUUCUCAUCUGUGGAACUCUUGUUUUAAGCUCUCAAUCAAAUGCCGUCUCACCUGGGGAGUCAUCUGCACUUCUCAGUGUGAGACAAAGUAGCAUAGGUAAGAAGACAUAUUUGCUCAUUUAUGCUUGCUGGCAUGAUUUCACAAAGGCUCUAACUCUGUGACCACAUGCAGUUCUCUGGAGUGAUACUUUGUAGAGCAAACAGGAUAGAGGACACAGUGCCCCACAUCUCUUGCCUGAGUUACUAUAUUUCUUAAAAGAUAAAUGGCCCUAGUUCUUGCCUUUUCCUACACAUAAGAUAAUGUCUGACAAGGUUAGUGAUUAUGCCUCUAUAAUCUAUAACGAUAUACUCUUACACCCAAAUAUUUAUAUCUAUAACCAGAUAUAAUCUUAUAUACCCUUGAUGUGAUUCCUCUUUACUAUAACUUCUGAACAAGUUUGAUGUGAUUUUACACAUACUAAACCUUCAUUAUCUGUAUAGCCCACCGCUAAAAUACUGGGCUGGUGCAAUCUGAUAGAACCUCUGAUAGAACCUCUCUAAAGGGCUGCUUCUGGGCUAUAGGCCUCAGUCUAUAGUCCUUUGCAGGACUUUUAAAUAAAAUUAACUUUAAAUCUUUAAAAGCCUGAU